UACGUAGGGUGCGAGCGUUGUCCGGAAUUAUUGGGCGUAAAGAGCUCGUAGGCGGUCUGUCGCGUCGAUCGUGAAAACUUGGGGCUUAACCCUGAGCUUGCGGUCGAUACGGGCAUGACUGGAGUUCGGCAGGGGAGACUGGAAUUCCAGGUGUAGCGGUGAAAUGCGUAGAUAUCUGGAGGAACACCGGUGGCGAAGGCGGCAUCCUGGACCGGCAUUGACGCUGAGGAGCGAAAGCUAGGGGAGCAAACGGG
This 254-nucleotide ribosomal RNA is filed under the name uncultured bacterium. Its description in RNAcentral is "partial 16S ribosomal RNA". It matches the Rfam family "Bacterial small subunit ribosomal RNA", at positions 524 to 776 of the family's 1533-position model. The record is from RNAcentral.